RNAcentral lists this long non-coding RNA (1037 nucleotides) under Sus scrofa (pig). RNAcentral's name for it is "lncRNA (ENSSSCG00030061618.1)". Lineage: Eukaryota; Metazoa; Chordata; Mammalia; Artiodactyla; Suidae. The record is from RNAcentral.
AAGAAGGAAGGAGAGGGAGGUGGGAAGGAAGGAGAAAGGAAGGAGAGGGAAAGAAGGAAGGAGGAGAGAAGGAAGAGGAAAAGAGGAAGGAAGGGAGGAAAAGGAAGGAAAGACGAAGGAAGGAGAGGGAGGGAAGGGAGGGAGGUUAGGAAUCUGGUGUCUAGCUCUGCCCCUCCCUAGUCUGUCCCCGUACCUUAGCCCACCCUGGCCCCAUCCUCCCCCCGGGGUUGGUUUAAAGUGGGUUUUCCUAAUGAAGACAACGCCAAGGGAAGCAGAGGAAGAGAGUCAUCAGGCCACAAGCUGGGGAGCACAGGGUGAUUUAUUGGGCUCUGAGUCGCCCUCAUGUCAAGCCACGUGAUGCAUCAGGCUGGUCCGGCAUUGAAGGCAGAGCCCAACACAGUGUGAGGAUUUAUGGAGAUAAAAUAGUGAACACAUAAGGAAAGUGAGGACAAUUGAGCUGCGUGUGGGAGAAGCUGGAAGAGAGGCUGGACCCUUGGGAAAGGUCCUGAACCCAAGGGCCCCCAGCCAGAGGCCCUUUGUUGACUCAAACAGAUCCACGCCUGCCUGGCAUCUCUGGCUUUGGACCACACAGACUCUAAACAACAUCCACUCCACAGCUGCAGGCUACGGUAGCUAAGUGGGGGGCCUGACUCAGCCUAGAACCCUGCAGGCUCCUGAAGGUCAUGGACUGUCUGUCUGGACUCCUCCCCAUACUGGAAACCCUUUGAGGGCAGGGAUUGCUUUUUCUCAAAUUUGGAUCCCAACAUGUAGGCAUCGUGACAGGGACACAGGCUCUGGUACAUCGGUGUUUGUGAAAUAAAUGAGUCAUUCGUGUUUCAUGCACUUGGUGCAGAUUUAAACUACACACACAAUCCCACUCCUGGGCAUCUAUCCAGAGAAAACCAUGACUCGCAAAGACACAUGUACUCCGAUGUUCAUUGCAGCACUAUUUGCAAUAGCCAAGACAUGGAAACAACCUCAAUGUCCAUCGACAGAGGAGUGGAUCCAGAAGAUGUGGUACAUAUACACAAUGGAAU